UCCUUCUAGCUGAGAAGACACCACCCUUGUUGUAAUGUGUUGUAUUGGUGACUGGGUAGUUCCAGGGGCUAAAGGGAGAUAUAAAAUCACAGUGAACCCAAGUGACCAUUUCGAAUCUAACCCAAACAUGGCAAUAAAUAUGUCCAAGCUCUAACAUUUUCUCCAGUGUGCAAAAUGCCUUUGCAAGAGCCUGGAGAGAUUCCCGCUGGUCUCUGCAGGAUUUGGCUUGAGCUCCUCUGCAGGAAUUAGUUCGUGCCAGUGGAAGUAAAUAGGCCCUUGGGGAUGCUGCUGCUGCCACUGAGGCUGACUUGUGCAACUGUGCCAUCAUUCCUCUCCAACACCGCAGCCUUCUUCUGUUUGCUGAUUCCCAUACAUGCCGAGCCCACAGAGUGCCUCCCCAGACUGUUACUUACUCCUUGAGAAGCACACAUAUGCCUGGCCAGAUAAGAACCUGUCACUACAGCAGGUUUCACGCCAGGGCAGUUUUCCCAAACCAGUGCUCUUCCACAGGUCACUGGCUUACUUCAGGACUCCCCUUCACUCUCCAGCAUCAACUACAGCUCCUGCUUAAAUGGUAAGACCCUAAGCAUGUUCUUAGAGGUCCAUAAAGCAAAGCCAGAACUGCACAGAAGGGAGGGAAAAUGAGAUAUUGGAGAAGAGAGAGAAAGACAAAGGGAAAAGGAUACUUCUGGAUAUUUCAAAGAUGUCUAAACUUCACUUCCAGAUUUCCCUGGCAUGCUCAUCAAUUUCAUGUUAAGAAUUAUAAGCAACUUAUUUUUUCAUCUUCUCUCCAACCAGAGUAGAGCUAUGCAUCUACAAGUGGAGCUGUCAUUCUGCCUCCCAAGUACCUCUUCUGGAAGAGACCUUAAAAUGCAUUGUUUUGUGUAAAAAAGCAUUCAUUGCUUUGCUCCCAGCUGCAGCUGAUGUAGUAGGAGAGAGCUGCUCAUCCUUAGUUUACAGACCAGUUUGGCCACACAGCUUGCUAGGUAAAGACAGGCCAGCACACUCAGAUUGGUGCCAGGAAUAUUGCUGCUGAUUGUGCUUACCAAACCAUGUUAUGUCAGCAGCAUCCAUGUCAGAGGAGCAUGUGCAAGACCAGUUACAGCUAAUAAGCCUCUAUCUGAGGGAAAAAAUGAGACCAGAGUGAGAUUUAUGACAAUUUCAAGCACAGAAUAAGCAGUAUGAACAGAUGAGCCUCAAAGAAUGGUAAGGUCCUCUUUACAUACAAAUAUUUUUUGGGGGGGAGGGGAGUGAAGAAGGAAUAAAAUCAGAAAAUAAUAGAAUGAAUUAUAGCAAAUACUCUUUCUAAGUAAAGUCGUUUUGCAUUUCCCAUGGGAGUCAGUUGAAUGAGAGAAGACAAAAAAAAAGGAAGAGUAGAAACUGCUUGCAACACAGAACAAACCUUGAGUGCCAAGAACAUGCUCCAGAUUUUUUUAAAGAUGCCUGGCUCUUAUCUCAGCCUUGAUUCAUCACAGUUUACUCCCAGAAUUAUUCAGAAUUCAAGGACCUUGCUCCUGUGGGGUUAAUGGGUUACAUUCAGCAUUGAAACCCAUGACACAAAUAGCUGCUUAAUUAUUCACUCGAAGAUGGUUUUAGUGGCUAAUCUAAAUAAAAACAGCAACAGCAAAAAUUA
Molecule: long non-coding RNA, 1633 nt
Organism: Pseudopipra pipra
Lineage: Eukaryota; Metazoa; Chordata; Aves; Passeriformes; Pipridae
Exons: 6
Source: RefSeq, a predicted model, not a curated record